AAAUUGAAGAGUUUGAUCAUGGCUCAGAUUGAACGCUGGCGGUAGGCCUAACACAUGCAAGUCGAACGGUAACAGGAAGAAGCUUGCUUCUUUGCUGACGAGUGGCGGACGGGUGAGUAAUGUCUGGGAAACUGCCUGAUGGAGGGGGAUAACUACUGGAAACGGUAGCUAAUACCGCAUAACGUCGCAAGACCAAAGAGGGGGACCUUCGGGCCUCUUGCCAUCGGAUGUGCCCAGAUGGGAUUAGCUAGUAGGUGGGGUAACGGCUCACCUAGGCGACGAUCCCUAGCUGGUCUGAGAGGAUGACCAGCCACACUGGAAC
This 322-nucleotide ribosomal RNA is filed under the name Escherichia coli. RNAcentral describes it as "bacterial SSU rRNA". It matches the Rfam family "Bacterial small subunit ribosomal RNA", at positions 1 to 319 of the family's 1533-position model. Lineage: Bacteria; Pseudomonadati; Pseudomonadota; Gammaproteobacteria; Enterobacterales; Enterobacteriaceae. The record is from RNAcentral.